AACAGGAUUAGAUACCCUGGUAGUCCACGCUGUAAACGAUGUCGACUUGGAGGUUGUUCCCUUGAGGAGUGGCUUCCGGAGCUAACGCGUUAAGUCGACCGCCUGGGGAGUACGGCCGCAAGGUUAAAACUCAAAUGAAUUGACGGGGGCCCGCACAAGCGGUGGAGCAUGUGGUUUAAUUCGAUGCAACGCGAAGAACCUUACCUACUCUUGACAUCCAGAGAACUUAGCAGAGACGCUUUGGUGCCUUCGGGAACUCUGAGACAGGUGCUGCAUGGCUGUCGUCAGCUCGUGUUGUGAAAUGUUGGGUUAAGUCCCGCAACGAGCGCAACCCUUAUCCUUUGUUGCCAGCGGUUCGGCCGGGAACUCAAAGGAGACUGCCAGUGAUAAACUGGAGGAAGGUGGGGAUGACGUCAAGUCAUCAUGGCCCUUACGAGUAGGGCUACACACGUGCUACAAUGGCAUAUACAAAGAGAAGCGACCUCGCGAGAGCAAGCGGACCUCAUAAAGUAUGUCGUAGUCCGGAUCGGAGUCUGCAACUCGACUCCGUGAAGUCGGAAUCGCUAGUAAUCGUGGAUCAGAAUGCCACGGUGAAUACGUUCCCGGGCCUUGUACACACCGCCCGUCACACCAUGGGAGUGGGUUGCAAAAGAAGUAGGUAGCUUAACCUUCGGGAGGGCGCUUACCACUUUGUGAUUCAUGACUGGGGUGAAGUCGUAACAAGGUAACC
Molecule: ribosomal RNA, 730 nt
Filed under: uncultured bacterium
Lineage: Bacteria
Description: bacterial SSU rRNA
Rfam family: Bacterial small subunit ribosomal RNA
Source: RNAcentral